Molecule: ribosomal RNA, 253 nt
Filed under: uncultured bacterium
Lineage: Bacteria
Description: partial 16S ribosomal RNA
Rfam family: Bacterial small subunit ribosomal RNA
Source: RNAcentral
UACGGAGGGGGCUAGCGUUGUUCGGAAUUACUGGGCGUAACGCGCACGUAGGCGGCUUUGUAAGUUAGAGGUGAAAGCCCGGGGCUCAACUCCGGAAUUGCCUUUAAGACUGCAUCGCUAGAAUUGUGGAGAGGUAAGUGGAAUUCCGAGUGUAGAGGUGAAAUUCGUAGAUAUUCGGAAGAACACCAGUGGCGAAGGCGACUUACUGGACACAUAUUGACGCUGAGGUGCGAAAGCGUGGGGAGCAAACAGG